AUUUAGGCCUCAAAGACUAAACUGGCUGUUCGAGGAACUGAACAUUCAAAAUUAGCGUGCAUUUGCUUAAGUACUGACAUUCGUGCAGCACGGUUGAUGCAUCAGUUCGUUCAGUUUCAAGGCGUUCCUUUGAAGUUUGGAUCUAAUGGAAAUCUUGAGCAGCAUGGAUUUGCAAGGAAUCGGCUUUGGACAAUUGAUGAUAAUCCACCCCCUUUACCAGUAAAUCCUUCAAUUAAAGCUUUUGUUGAUAUUAUCCUGA
This is a long non-coding RNA of Lolium rigidum, 259 nucleotides long. RefSeq lists it as uncharacterized. The transcript has 3 exons. Lineage: Eukaryota; Viridiplantae; Streptophyta; Magnoliopsida; Poales; Poaceae. The record is from RefSeq and is a predicted model, not a curated record.